GAUGAACGCUGGCGGCGUGCCUAAUACAUGCAAGUCGAGCGAACGGACGAGAAGCUUGCUUCUCUGAUGUUAGCGGCGGACGGGUGAGUAACACGUGGAUAACCUACCUAUAAGACUGGGAUAACUUCGGGAAACCGGAGCUAAUACCGGAUAAUAUUUUGCACCGCAUGGUUCAAAAGUGAAAGACGGUCUUGCUGUCACUUCUAGAUGGAUCCGCGCUGCAUUAGCUAGUUGGUAAGGUAACGGCUUACCAAGGCAACGAUGCAUAGCCGACCUGUGAGGGUGAUAGGCCGCACUGGAACUGAGACACGGUCCAGACUCCUACGGGAGGCAGCAGUAGGGAAUCUGCCGCAAUGGGCGAAAGCCUGGCGGAGCAACGGGGCGUGAGUGAUGAAGGUCUUCGGAGCGUAAAACUCUGUUAUGAGGGAAGAACAUAUGUGUAAGUAACUGUGCACAUCUUGACGGUACCUAAUCAGAAAGCCACGGCUAACUACGUG
Molecule: ribosomal RNA, 497 nt
Filed under: uncultured bacterium
Lineage: Bacteria
Description: partial 16S ribosomal RNA
Rfam family: Bacterial small subunit ribosomal RNA
Source: RNAcentral